This 412-nucleotide long non-coding RNA is filed under the name Elaeis guineensis (African oil palm). RNAcentral's name for it is "long non-coding RNA (EGUI_LNC038913)". The record is from RNAcentral. Lineage: Eukaryota; Viridiplantae; Streptophyta; Magnoliopsida; Arecales; Arecaceae.
CACCCGCAGUAGGAGUCGGGGAUGAAGUCCGGCUCCCGUAGGAGUCCGGAUGAAGUCCGGCUUCCGUGGGAGCCCGGAUGAAAUCUGGUAGUUGUAGGAAUCUGCCGUUGGUGAAGUUCAGCCAUUGACGAAGUCUGGGGUAGUUCGGAUUGGAGUUGAACCUGGCUGGAAGAAGUCUGGAAGGGAUUCGGAGAACAGUUGAUAGUCGUAGAAGGUCGACUGAUGGCGGAACUCAGUGAGCACUUGGGGUGGCUCGAUAGAUGACUGGGGGAACUCAUGUCGAAGGAGCUCGAGUGGUGCAGUGGGAGUUCGUCCGUCGGGGGAAUUCAGUCAGUACUAUGGAAAUUCGGCUGUUUGGAGAAAUCCGGAGAGAUACCAUCUGCAGUCGAAAGCCGAAGGAGUCCUGGGAGGG